GGCCACGUGGCCCAAUGGCAAGGCGCUUGACUACGAAUCAAGAGAUUCCAGGGUUAGUAAAUUAUCACACACAUAGCACACGAAUUAAGGUCUAACAUUCCUAACAGUUCGACCCCUGGCGUGGUCA
Glonium stellatum is the source of this 127-nucleotide non-coding RNA. NCBI's taxonomy places the organism in Eukaryota, Fungi, Ascomycota, Dothideomycetes, Gloniales, Gloniaceae. The record is from the annotation of a GenBank genome assembly.